AAUGCUAGGGGUGCCUUUAUUGGCUGAGAGGUUUUGCCGACCCUUGUACCUGAUCUGGAUAAUACCAGCGGAGGAAAGCUAUAUA
Molecule: non-coding RNA, 85 nt
Filed under: Terrisporobacter glycolicus
Lineage: Bacteria; Bacillati; Bacillota; Clostridia; Peptostreptococcales; Peptostreptococcaceae
Source: RNAcentral